ACGAACAGCCACCAUUCCUGGCUGCAAACAACAACCCCCCCCCCUCCUGCUUCACUGGCCCAGGGGGGUGUCCCCACACACGUCAGAGCCCUGGAUGCUGAUGGAGUCACAGUGGCUCCCGAUCACAUGUGGCAAAAGGGGAAAACUCACCAUCUGAGCAUCAUUUAAUGUGCUCUGGAAUAAGUCGCCGGAUCGCACGCCGAGCAGACCGUAAGCUGUGUCCGUAUGUAGCUCGUGUCCACCCUGAUCACUGGAGAAAGCUACAAUGCAGGUAUGUUGGGUACAGCACCUCCAGGUUCUAUGGGUAGCAUGACUGCCAUUUCUGCUAUUCCCUGCAUCGUCAAACGCAUAAACCGAAUACCAAACGUUGCAUGUAUGCCCUUGCAUGGGGCAGUUGCAUGCCAACAGCACCUUCUGUAGUCUUCUCAAAUAUGUCCUGUGUCCUCAAUUACAUCAAAAAGGAUCUCAACAGCGUGCUGAGGAAACCAUAGACAACUUGUGGGUGGGGUUUGUCAGGGGUGGCUUUGGCAUCAAUAAGUCUUUUCCACAAUGGGAGGAAGAUCAGGGGUCUUGAUUUGAGCCAGGGUCUUGAAGCUGUGAUGAGCUCAGUGGAGCUAAGCGUGUCUCGGUGAGCUUGAUGGGCUUAGAGAUCACACAAAAGGACACCAUUUCCAGCGUGAUGCUCACUGGCUUGGCCACAUGGGGCUUUGCAGAGCAGGCCCUUCUCAAAGGCUUUGCCAUGUUUCAGAGAACGCCUUUCAUGUGCGAGCGACGAAAGCGGUCACAGUCAGGGGAGCGGGACGGCUUUGCGUCCACCGAGCUUGAGAGGUCUAUCAAGCUCAACGGCAAAUGAAGGCACCGGAGGGACGUCCUGCAGAGACGUUCCAUAUGGCUCCUGAUGAAACCACCUGGAUCAUCAGAUUCCUUCAACACCUUCAAGAAACCCUACAAAACGCACCUGUUCCAGGAACACUUGGCUUACACCAUACCAUGUUCCUCAAAUGCUCUUAGUCUAUGUCUUCUGAUUUGAAUAGCAAUUGUUUAGAAGUUGUUCUGUAGCUCCUGCUCCGAUGCUUAUAUCUGGGCGUUCACUGGCGGCUCAGCCUAGCUGCACUUAUGCCUAGUUGACUCUUUGAUUGCCUUGGACAAAAGCAUCUACUGAAUAAAUAUAUAUAUCUAAUAAACUGAUCACAGCUUGGCUUUCAGCGCUUCCCAGGAAUUAGCUGUUCAGUCUCUCUCCAUUGCUGUCUCCCUUGGCAAACAGGGAAGUGAUUAGACACUGGCUGGAUAUGUAUCCAAUUAGGCCUUCUGUUGAAGUCCUGCUUGACGCCUUUUCCCCUCAACCUUCUCCAGCCCUUACGAACCACAGUGAGGAAGCUUCACCGACCUUUCCUCACAUCCUGUCCACCAAAGCCUUCUCAGAUACACAAGGUGGAGAAAACAGGACACUAAAAGUCUAAAGAGUCUAAUUGCAAAGCAACUUAUUUUUUUCUGAAUUAAGUCCAAAGGGUCAGAGAUGAAGAAUGUGCAAGAUUUCCUGUUCCGCGGCCCGUAACUCCCCAAACAUCUCCCAGUUUAUGUACUGCGGCGUGUUGCCGGGGCAACCUGGCAGCGAAUCAGGGCCCUGCACCAGAGAAUCACUGUUCCAGCAGAAAGACGCAAGAAAAGCCUUAAAGAGAAACACACCCAUUCUAACAAGAGCAGCACUGUGUCCAGGAUCACGCAGUUACAACCCAGGCGUCUGGAGACCCGGUCACAUGAAGAGCCAAGAAGGCAGAACAGGCUGGCCGAGACUGACCCCUCUCUCGUCCCGGUGCCAGUGGUCGCUCUGGGUGUGGGAACGCGCCCCACUGCACACAUUUGUUAGCAGGUCAACCCAAAACAUCACAGGAGACCUGAUAGAACGUGACUGAUUCGCCUGCCACCCAGCAAAAUAUCGAGCCGGAAGCUAGGGAUGGACAGUCGGGUAGUAACGUCACCAAAGGCAUGGCACAUGUGGAGAGACCUGAGGAGACUGAAGAAACCCCACCGCGUGUCUUUGGAAGCAGUUCAUCAGAACACUGAAAGCAGGCCUCCACAGACGUUUCUGCAGGAAGGUCACAAGCUGAACUCAGAAGCUCAGCCAAGAACAUGUUUGGGAGCCGACGUUCCGACACGAGCACAAGAAGAGAUGUGCCAGUGCUGAGGUAUUCCUCCGUCAGGAAUCAGUCAGAAGCAUCCGAUCCACA
Molecule: long non-coding RNA, 2228 nt
Organism: Brienomyrus brachyistius
Lineage: Eukaryota; Metazoa; Chordata; Actinopteri; Osteoglossiformes; Mormyridae
Exons: 6
Source: RefSeq, a predicted model, not a curated record